Molecule: long non-coding RNA, 1309 nt
Organism: Scleropages formosus (Asian bonytongue)
Lineage: Eukaryota; Metazoa; Chordata; Actinopteri; Osteoglossiformes; Osteoglossidae
Exons: 3
Source: RefSeq, a predicted model, not a curated record
ACGAGGGUCCCCCCGCGGCGGAAGCCCACCUGCAUCACACGCCGCCGCACAGCGGCCCCGGACACGGCAGGCCGCUCUUCUGACAAGGCACGUUCAAAGGGGACGUGUAAAGGACUUGACCAUCAAGGUCAAUCCUCUUAAGGGUCCGGACCUGCGCUAGAAUAACAUUCCACGGUUAUUAGCGCUCCUCCCGACCGAGGCCGGCGCGGUGUUGCUUCGCUGCCCUCCGGCUCUUGGCCGAACUGCCGCUCCUUCCGAGUGACGCGAGCGCCUCCUAGCGGCCUCUCUGUGUUUCGCGGCGCAAUUGACGCGAGCCCGACGCUAACGCUUCGCUUCGCUGCCGUUGACCACCAGUCUCGCUAUCCGAAAAAUGUUCUGUCUCGCGCAGCGGGCGUCGAAGCCGAAACACAACAGCGCAAACACGUUCCUGAACACUUCCCAUCUCUUUUACAAGUUUCGAGGAGCUAUGAAGGCCAGCAGGAUCGAGCUCGGCCCACUGGGUCCAGCGUCCUUGAUCCGGUAUCUGCUGAUGAACAGGAGAGGAGACGGACGACUGCAGACUCAGCGUGUGUCCUGUGGAGAACGACAGUAACCCCAACAAACCCUCCACUUAAUCUGUAUUCUACAUCUCUGAACGACAUGCCCUUCACCAUGAGUCUUGUGACGACCUCAGCUCAUCAGAUGACACCCCUGUGAUUUUGCAACAUGUGCCCGAUGAACAGUUACAUGACAUUUUUACGAUCAGAAAAAAAUAUGAAAGCAUUUUCUUCUACUGCUGCCUAAAAGAGUUAAUUAUACAUUGUUUGGAGGCUAUAUUUCUGUUGCAGCCUCAGUGUGUGUGUGUGUCUUGUGUGUGUGGAGAUGUGCUUGCAGUUUUAUUCUUUAUAUGAGUCCUUUGCUACAAUCUGUCUCCGAAUCCUUCUGAAAUUGUGAUGUGGAUAAAAGUCGAAAGAUUAAACAAGUUUGACUGGAAUGAAUUUGAUUAUUUAGAUUUGAUUUGCUGCCUCGGACCAAGUCUAAUUUUUAUAGCAGGAAACGAAGGAGACAUUUGAAUCCUGCAAAGCCUUUGAGUACCAUACCUUGUAUAGUACUGUGAAUUUGAAUGGUAAAACUGCCGUGAGCUCCCGCUGCAGGGCACAUGGACGCAAAUCAGGAGGGAACUACACAGCGUUCAAUGUAGAAUUCUGGGUUUCUGACGAUGAUUUAUCUGGAGUUAUAGGCAUCAGCAUUCUCCACACACACAGACACACCUGACCUGUUGAAAAUGCAGGGACUGACAGUUACACUUCUAGUCUCCAGUGUCUGUUUA